This 366-nucleotide long non-coding RNA is filed under the name Olea europaea (common olive). Its description in RNAcentral is "long non-coding RNA (OEUR_LNC002412)". The record is from RNAcentral. Lineage: Eukaryota; Viridiplantae; Streptophyta; Magnoliopsida; Lamiales; Oleaceae.
AAUAGCAAGCAUAGUUUGAGAUUAGAUCACAUCAUUUCCUUGGAAUAAAAUAACUUAGUUCAUGCAGGAAAUUGAACUCAACACAAAUAAAUUCAGCUUGAUCUGAGUAUGGAAAUAAGGAAAAUCAAACUAGGAAAAUAAUGGUAAAGCUUGAUCGAUAUCUUUUGAGAUGGAAAAUAUGCAGCUUCACGAUCCUCUCUCUUUCCUUGGUUCAAAUCCGUUCCUUUAUCUUCAAAAUCUCAUUUUUGCAAUUUGCUUUCUUCUCUCCCAAAAGCGCUUCAAUGCCAGAUGAAUAAAAUUCUUAACUAGGUUAUAGAAGUUGAGUAGGAUAGGAAACUAAAAUUUGGGAUUGCCCGUAUUGACCAU